This 265-nucleotide ribosomal RNA is filed under the name uncultured archaeon. RNAcentral's name for it is "partial 16S ribosomal RNA". It matches the Rfam family "Archaeal small subunit ribosomal RNA", at positions 717 to 982 of the family's 1478-position model. The record is from RNAcentral.
ACACGACUACAUUAGAUACCCCUGUAGUCCCAGCCCUAAACGAUGCGCGUUAGGUGUAUCGGUGACCACGAGUCACCGAGGUGCCGAAGGGAAACCGUGAAACGUGCCGCCUGGGAAGUACGGUCGCAAGGCUGAAACUUAAAGGAAUUGGCGGGAGAGCACCACAACGGGUGGAGCCUGCGGUUUAAUUGGACUCAACGCCGGGAAGCUCACCGGAUAAGACAGCGGAAUGAUUGCCGGGCUGAAGACCCUGCAUGACCAGCUG